GGACUACACGGGUUUCUAAUCCUGUUUGCUCCCCACGCUUUCGCACCUCAGCGUCAGUACCGAUCCAGUGGGCCGCCUUCGCCACCGGUGUUCUUCCUAAUAUCUACGAAUUUCACCUCUACACUAGGAAUUCCACCCACCUCUAUCGGACUCGAGAUUUGCAGUAUCAAAGGCAGUUCCGAGGUUGAGCCCCGGGAUUUCACCCCUGACUUACAAAUCCGCCUACGUGCGCUUUACGCCCAGUGAUUCCGAACAACGCUAGCUCCCUUCGUAUUACCGCGGCGGCUGGCAC
Molecule: ribosomal RNA, 292 nt
Filed under: uncultured Alphaproteobacteria bacterium
Lineage: Bacteria; Pseudomonadati; Pseudomonadota; Alphaproteobacteria
Description: partial 16S ribosomal RNA
Source: RNAcentral